GGAGUAAAAGUCGUAACAAGGUUUCCGUAGGUGAACCUGCGGAAGGAUCAUUAUUGGAUUUUGAAACUUCAGGCUGCUGCUGGCUCUCCUCGGAGGGCAUGUGCACGCUUGUUGUCCAUUAUUUCUCCCACUGUGCACAAAUUGUAGACCUUUCAGUAGGCCUAUGUUGUUUUUCACAAUCUCUGAAUGUAAUAGAAUGGUUUUGAACCUUGGGAAAUACAAUACAACUUUCAGCAACGGAUCUCUUGGCUCUC
RNAcentral lists this unclassified non-coding RNA (254 nucleotides) under plant metagenome. Its description in RNAcentral is "partial contains small subunit ribosomal RNA, internal transcribed spacer 1, and 5.8S ribosomal RNA". The stretch from base 1 to 53 matches the Rfam family "Eukaryotic small subunit ribosomal RNA", at positions 1779 to 1831 of the family's 1831-position model. The record is from RNAcentral.